ACUAAGCGUACACGGUGGAUGCCCUGGCAGUCAGAGGCGAUGAAGGACGUGCUAAUCUGCGAUAAGCGUCGGUAAGGUGAUAUGAACCGUUAUAACCGGCGAUUUCCGAAUGGGGAAACCCAGUGUGUUUCGACACACUAUCAUUAACUGAAUCCAUAGGUUAAUGAGGCGAACCGGGGGAACUGAAACAUCUAAGUACCCCGAGGAAAAGAAAUCAACCGAGAUUCCCCCAGUAGCGGCGAGCGAACGGGGAGCAGCCCAGAGCCUGAAUCAGUGUGUGUGUUAGUGGAAGCGUCUGGAAAGGCGCGCGAUACAGGGUGACAGCCCCGUACACAAAAAUACACAUACUGUGAGCUCGAUGAGUAGGGCGGGACACGUGGUAUCCUGUCUGAAUAUGGGGGGACCAUCCUCCAAGGCUAAAUACUCCUGACUGACCGAUAGUGAACCAGUACCGUGAGGGAAAGGCGAAAAGAACCCCGGCGAGGGGAGUGAAAAAGAACCUGAAACCGUGUACGUACAAGCAGUGGGAGCACAGAGCAAUCUGUGUGACUGCGUACCUUUUGUAUAAUGGGUCAGCGACUUAUAUUCUGUAGCAAGGUUAACCGAAUAGGGGAGCCGAAGGGAAACCGAGUCUUAACUGGGCGUUAAGUUGCAGGGUAUAGACCCGAAACCCGGUGAUCUAGCCAUGGGCAGGUUGAAGGUUGGGUAACACUAACUGGAGGACCGAACCGACUAAUGUUGAAAAAUUAGCGGAUGACUUGUGGCUGGGGGUGAAAGGCCAAUCAAACCGGGAGAUAGCUGGUUCUCCCCGAAAGCUAUUUAGGUAGCGCCUCGUGAAUUCAUCUCCGGGGGUAGAGCACUGUUUCGGCAAGGGGGUCAUCCCGACUUACCAACCCGAUGCAAACUGCGAAUACCGGAGAAUGUUAUCACGGGAGACACACGGCGGGUGCUAACGUCCGUCGUGAAGAGGGAAACAACCCAGACCGCCAGCUAAGGUCCCAAAGUCAUGGUUAAGUGGGAAACGAUGUGGGAAGGCCCAGACAGCCAGGAUGUUGGCUUAGAAGCAGCCAUCAUUUAAAGAAAGCGUAAUAGCUCACUGGUCGAGUCGGCCUGCGCGGAAGAUGUAACGGGGCUAAACCAUGCACCGAAGCUGCGGCAGCGACGCUUAUGCGUUGUUGGGUAGGGGAGCGUUCUGUAAGCCUGCGAAGGUGUGCUGUGAGGCAUGCUGGAGGUAUCAGAAGUGCGAAUGCUGACAUAAGUAACGAUAAAGCGGGUGAAAAGCCCGCUCGCCGGAAGACCAAGGGUUCCUGUCCAACGUUAAUCGGGGCAGGGUGAGUCGACCCCUAAGGCGAGGCCGAAAGGCGUAGUCGAUGGGAAACAGGUUAAUAUUCCUGUACUUGGUGUUACUGCGAAGGGGGGACGGAGAAGGCUAUGUUGGCCGGGCGACGGUUGUCCCGGUUUAAGCGUGUAGGCUGGUUUUCCAGGCAAAUCCGGAAAAUCAAGGCUGAGGCGUGAUGACGAGGCACUACGGUGCUGAAGCAACAAAUGCCCUGCUUCCAGGAAAAGCCUCUAAGCAUCAGGUAACAUCAAAUCGUACCCCAAACCGACACAGGUGGUCAGGUAGAGAAUACCAAGGCGCUUGAGAGAACUCGGGUGAAGGAACUAGGCAAAAUGGUGCCGUAACUUCGGGAGAAGGCACGCUGAUAUGUAGGUGAAGUCCCUCGCGGAUGGAGCUGAAAUCAGUCGAAGAUACCAGCUGGCUGCAACUGUUUAUUAAAAACACAGCACUGUGCAAACACGAAAGUGGACGUAUACGGUGUGACGCCUGCCCGGUGCCGGAAGGUUAAUUGAUGGGGUCAGCGCAAGCGAAGCUCUUGAUCGAAGCCCCGGUAAACGGCGGCCGUAACUAUAACGGUCCUAAGGUAGCGAAAUUCCUUGUCGGGUAAGUUCCGACCUGCACGAAUGGCGUAAUGAUGGCCAGGCUGUCUCCACCCGAGACUCAGUGAAAUUGAACUCGCUGUGAAGAUGCAGUGUACCCGCGGCAAGACGGAAAGACCCCGUGAACCUUUACUAUAGCUUGACACUGAACAUUGAGCCUUGAUGUGUAGGAUAGGUGGGAGGCUUUGAAGUGUGGACGCCAGUCUGCAUGGAGCCGACCUUGAAAUACCACCCUUUAAUGUUUGAUGUUCUAACGUUGACCCGUGAUCCGGGUUGCGGACAGUGUCUGGUGGGUAGUUUGACUGGGGCGGUCUCCUCCUAAAGAGUAACGGAGGAGCACGAAGGUUGGCUAAUCCUGGUCGGACAUCAGGAGGUUAGUGCAAUGGCAUAAGCCAGCUUGACUGCGAGCGUGACGGCGCGAGCAGGUGCGAAAGCAGGUCAUAGUGAUCCGGUGGUUCUGAAUGGAAGGGCCAUCGCUCAACGGAUAAAAGGUACUCCGGGGAUAACAGGCUGAUACCGCCCAAGAGUUCAUAUCGACGGCGGUGUUUGGCACCUCGAUGUCGGCUCAUCACAUCCUGGGGCUGAAGUAGGUCCCAAGGGUAUGGCUGUUCGCCAUUUAAAGUGGUACGCGAGCUGGGUUUAGAACGUCGUGAGACAGUUCGGUCCCUAUCUGCCGUGGGCGCUGGAGAACUGAGGGGGGCUGCUCCUAGUACGAGAGGACCGGAGUGGACGCAUCACUGGUGUUCGGGUUGUCAUGCCAAUGGCACUGCCCGGUAGCUAAAUGCGGAAGAGAUAAGUGCUGAAAGCAUCUAAGCACGAAACUUGCCCCGAGAUGAGUUCUCCCUGACUCCUUGAGAGUCCUGAAGGAACGUUGAAGACGACGACGUUGAUAGGCCGGGUGUGUAAGCGCAGCGAUGCGUUGAGCUAACCGGUACUAAUGAACCGUGAGGCUUAACC
RNAcentral lists this ribosomal RNA (2895 nucleotides) under Escherichia coli. RNAcentral's name for it is "bacterial LSU rRNA". It matches the Rfam family "Bacterial large subunit ribosomal RNA". The record is from RNAcentral. Lineage: Bacteria; Pseudomonadati; Pseudomonadota; Gammaproteobacteria; Enterobacterales; Enterobacteriaceae.